Amblyraja radiata (thorny skate) is the source of this 277-nucleotide long non-coding RNA. RefSeq lists it as uncharacterized. The record is from RefSeq and is a predicted model, not a curated record. The transcript is spliced from 3 exons. NCBI's taxonomy places the organism in Eukaryota, Metazoa, Chordata, Chondrichthyes, Rajiformes, Rajidae.
GUGUCGCUGAGCUGGUGGUAAAGGGAAACCGCAGAGACAGUUCCAUACUCUUCCUCAGUCUGGUAAUGGAAAAAGGCAACCGGUCCCGGCGCGUGAUGUGGGAAUCCUUUGUGAAAAUGCAGAAUGAAUUACCAAAGCUGAACAAAAUACUGAAAGAAAUCCAGGAGCUCGGUCCUGAUCCACAAGAAUAUAUGAACAUCAUCAGAGGUUUAUCUGAAUUACCCUCUCAUAUGGAAGAUGUUCAACAGAAACACAAGGAGACUCUGCGAGCACAGAC